GCGAUUUCUGCCUCGCAUAGUGUGGCCUGCAAAGCCCUGGAUGAACCUUCACAUUGGGAGCCCGUCCUGUUCCUUCUUUCUGUCCUGCAGGUGUGGCUCGCAGAUGGCUCGGGUUGGAAAGUCCAUCCUUUGGCAGUUAGGCUUGUCUCCCCUGACUCUGAUAUGCAAGGCCUGAGCAAGCCUGAGCUUUCUGCCUUCCAGCUCAGCACUGCUGCUGCUUCCAAGGAAGCAUCUGGAAACCCACGUGGAGGGCAGAGCCACUAAUGGUUCCUACUCUGUUCCCCCUCGAGUAGGGCAGUUGCCAUCCCGCUGCGUUGCCCACUGAGAAGACAUCGGGUUUGCAUCUGCAUAUGUACGCACACCUCCAGUUCUCCCAGCAACCCCUGCCCACCUCUCGCUCUCUCUCACGCCCCCCUCAAGGAAAGAUGCCUCUUCUAGUGUUAAUACCUUUUCACCUGGAGCAGAUAACACAGAUCCAGAGAUACGGAGCCAGACAAUCAAAUGGCAACUGGACAAGCUCCGGGAUGGACACAGUGAAGGGCCACCGUGCUGGCCUCAGCAUUUUGGAUGUGGAAACAGCCCCAGAGAAGUGAGAGAGGCUGCACCCUGCAUCUCCCUCCCUCCCUACCCGCUCUGAGUGUCGAUGCAGAUGUUGGCUGGUGCCCUGCACAUACUGCCAGCGAGGUAAGCGAGGUGCCAGCCCAUGAACUUUAAGGAGCCCUUGUUCUCAGGCACCUGCAUCUUGUGCCCUUGCUACUCGCUGGUUUUGCUCUGGCCCUGACCCUGCAUCCCAGCUCGAUAACCUCUGUUUCAAGCUUACUCCCUGCCAGGCCCUGCACUACUCAUUUUUAAACGUGUUAGUUCAUUUAAUUCAGCGUCCUGGUAAUAUGGGUAUUAUCGGUAUCUGCAUUCUUGCUGAUGAGGACGAUGGGACUUAGAGCGGGGAGAGUGACCUGUCCAAAGUCACAAGGCGGGGAAGGCAAUUUGGUUAGAAUCCUAGCUGGCUGGCUGGCUCCGGGCCCUACGUCUGCUAGCAGGACCCCGGAAUUCCCAGGGAGAGAAACGGGUGGAUCUGGACAUUAUCUCCCCAUGGGCUGCUUGCUCAGCUUGCAAUAGCUGGGGGUUCCCUGGAGAGAGGCUUAGGAACACCACGGCCCCAGGGGUGUGUUUGGUGGUGGGGAGGGUGCAUGGGCACAGGAAGGAAGCAAGGAAUCGCCCUCAGUCUGCUCGGCAGGCCUUGCUGAUAAAGACAGGGCUGCUUGCACCUUGGCCUCCUGCAGCCUCCCAAUCUUAAACACAUGAUUCCUCUGCAUUUGGCUCCUCCUCUGGCUCUCUAGAGAGGGAGCCCUUCCCUGGGGAUGGAGGAUGGAGUGGGCAUGCUCAGUGGGGCUGGGGCUCAGGCUGUGGCCAGCUCCAAGUCUUGGAGGCUGAUGGGAGGGGAGCAAGCCCAGCCCAAGGGGCACUUGCUCUUUGGGGGAAGGGAAGCUGGGGGCAGGCUUUCUGCAGGGGCAGCAGGGAUCCCCUGGGCCAUGAACAGUGCUCUGAGGGAGCCUGCCCAUUCUCCCCCACCCCCUCUCCACCCGUAGUGAGGCGAGAACCAGAACUGCAGCUGAUCUGAAAGAUUGUGAUCUAUAAUUUAUACCCAGCUCCUUCCAGAAAGGACCGGCGGCUGCCUGCCAGGGGAUUUGUAACUGUGGGUUUUGCUUUGAUGAAGCUAAGGGGAUUUCAGGUGGUCCCUCGGGUCAGGUGGUGCUGAAUUAAGACCAUCUGUGAAGCAGAUGCCCACGUACUAACUUCUCUAUCUUCCCAGCACGCCUUCUGAGAGUAAUUUUCUCCAUGUGACAAAUGGAAACUGAGGCUCAGAGGGUGACAUGACUUGCCCAAGGUCCCACACCUGGGGAAGGCAGGAUUUAAAUCCGAGUCUCUUUGAUUAGGGCAGCAUCAAAACUAUUCCCUAGGAAGCAGAUGUCGAUACCAUUUAAAAUCUCUGACUGAAAUCUCUGGUGCCUACAGGCAUGACCCAGCUCUGCGUGUUACCCAGACAGUUCUAGGCACCCAUGGAAUUCUGGCCCCAAUUUUCCUGGGACCAUUUCCACCCAAAACCUGGGUCUUGGAGAAUCUCAAAUAGAGUGUAUUUUGUUAUGUAGAGUAAGGAGGGAAGGGGGUAAGAUUUGACAUCUGAGUACUUUGUACACGCAGACCUGGCCAAAAGGAGAUCUACUCCCCACCUCUCCAAUCAAAGAAUUGAAUUGUAGACAAUGACGUUCUUAAGAAUAUGGCUUUGAGAGGCAUUUGGGGGCUUGGUCGGUUAAGCAUCUGCCUUUGACUCAGAUCAUGAUCCUGGCAUGGAACCCUAUGUUGGGCUCCCUGCUCAGUGGGGGAGUCUGCAUCUCCCUCUGCACCAUCUCCCCCAACCCUGACUCAUGUUUGUGCA
Molecule: long non-coding RNA, 2434 nt
Organism: Canis lupus familiaris (dog)
Lineage: Eukaryota; Metazoa; Chordata; Mammalia; Carnivora; Canidae
Exons: 3
Source: RefSeq, a predicted model, not a curated record